AGACUGCAGAGGCAGUUGAAGUAGCAAAAACGAAGGUGGAGUUUGUUGCAGAUACAUCAGAUGCAUUUGAAGAGGAGGAGACAGCAUCUGAGAAAAUGGGUAUCGGUAUAUAAUAUUAUGAUACUGUACUCUAUAUUAAAUACUGUACUU
Carassius gibelio (silver crucian carp) is the source of this 150-nucleotide long non-coding RNA. RefSeq lists it as uncharacterized. Lineage: Eukaryota; Metazoa; Chordata; Actinopteri; Cypriniformes; Cyprinidae. The transcript is spliced from 3 exons. The record is from RefSeq and is a predicted model, not a curated record.